CGACUCGAACCGAAGCGGAUC
This 21-nucleotide microRNA is filed under the name Ananas comosus (pineapple). RNAcentral's name for it is "microRNA s1234_c025b". The record is from RNAcentral. Lineage: Eukaryota; Viridiplantae; Streptophyta; Magnoliopsida; Poales; Bromeliaceae.